AAUAGAUACCCUGGUAGUCCAUGCCGUAAACGAUGAGUGCUAAGUGUUAGGGGGUUUCCGCCCCUUAGUGCUGCAGCUAACGCAUUAAGCACUCCGCCUGGGGAGUACGACCGCAAGGUUGAAACUCAAAGGAAUUGACGGGGGCCCGCACAAGCGGUGGAGCAUGUGGUUUAAUUCGAAGCAACGCGAAGAACCUUACCAGGUCUUGACAUCCCAGUGACCACUCUAGAGAUAGAGUUUUCCCUUCGGGGACAUUGGUGACAGGUGGUGCAUGGUUGUCGUCAGCUCGUGUCGUGAGAUGUUGGGUUAAGUCCCGCAACGAGCGCAACCCUUGAUCUUAGUUGCCAUCAUUUAGUUGGGCACUCUAAGGUGACUGCCGGUGACAAACCGGAGGAAGUGGGGAUGACGUCAAAUCAUCAUGCCCCUUAUGACCUGGGCUACACACGUGCUACAAUGGACGGUACAAAGAGUCGCUAACUCGCGAGAGUACGCUAAUCUCAUAAAACCGUUCUCAGUUCGGA
Molecule: ribosomal RNA, 521 nt
Filed under: uncultured bacterium
Lineage: Bacteria
Description: bacterial SSU rRNA
Rfam family: Bacterial small subunit ribosomal RNA
Source: RNAcentral